GAUGAAGAACGCAGCGAAAUGCGAUAAGUAAUGUGAAUUGCAGAAUCCAGUGAAUCAUCGAAUCUUUGAACGCACCUUGCGCCCCCUGGUAUUCCGGGGGGCAUGCCUGUCCGAGCGUCAUUACAACCCUCAAGCUCAGCUUGGUGUUGGGCCCCGCCGCCCCGGCGGGCCCUAAAGUCAGUGGCGGUGCCGUCCGGCUCCGAGCGUAGUAAUUCUUCUCGCUCUGGAGGUCCGGUCGUGUGCUCGCCAGCAACCCCCAAUUUUUUUCAGGUUGACCUCGGAUCAGGUAGGGAUACCCGCUGAACUUAAGCAUAUCAAUAAGCGGAGGA
RNAcentral lists this unclassified non-coding RNA (329 nucleotides) under soil metagenome. Its description in RNAcentral is "partial contains 5.8S ribosomal RNA, internal transcribed spacer 2, and large subunit ribosomal RNA". The stretch from base 1 to 120 matches the Rfam family "5.8S ribosomal RNA", at positions 35 to 154 of the family's 154-position model. The record is from RNAcentral.